RNAcentral lists this ribosomal RNA (415 nucleotides) under uncultured eukaryote. Its description in RNAcentral is "bacterial SSU rRNA". It matches the Rfam family "Eukaryotic small subunit ribosomal RNA", at positions 592 to 1013 of the family's 1831-position model. The record is from RNAcentral.
CAAUAGCGUAUAUUAAAGUUGUUGCAGUUAAAAGCUCGUAGUUGGAUUUCGGAGUGGGCCAGUUGGUCCGCCGCAAGGUGUGUUACUGACUGGUUUGCUCUUCUUCGCAAAGACUGCGUGUGCUCUUGAGUGAGUGUGCGUAGAAUUUACGACGUUUACUUUGAAAAAUUAGAGUGUUCAUAGCAGGCCCAGACGCCUGAAUAAUGUUGCAUGGAAUAAUGGAAUAGGACCUCGGUUCUAUUUUGUUGGUUUUCGGAGCGGAGGUAAUGAUUAAUAGGGACGGCCGGGGGCAUUCGUAUUACGGUGUUAGAGGUGAAAUUCUGGGAUCAUCGUAAGACGAACUACAGCGAAAGCAUUUGCCAAGAAUGUUUUCAUUAAUCAAGAACGAAAGUCAGAGGUUCGAAGACGAUUAGAU